CUUCGUCUUCUUCUAACGCACACCACCACCGUCUUAAUCUCAACCACCUUGACUGCACCGAAAUCACCGACUUCACUGUCUCCAAGUUCAAACAAGUCAUCAACUUGUUGAAUCGCACGGGACACGCUCGCUUUCGUAGCGCACCUUCUCAUCCUUCUCCUUCUACUUCUCUUCCUUCUCAACCUCAACCUCAACCACAACCACAACCAUAUGCACUGACUCUUGAUUUCGCAAAACCUGUUAUGCUUAAGUCAAAU
RNAcentral lists this long non-coding RNA (257 nucleotides) under Glycine max (soybean). RNAcentral's name for it is "long non-coding RNA (GMAX_LNC002876)". Lineage: Eukaryota; Viridiplantae; Streptophyta; Magnoliopsida; Fabales; Fabaceae. The record is from RNAcentral.